This 431-nucleotide unclassified non-coding RNA is filed under the name soil metagenome. RNAcentral's name for it is "partial contains 5.8S ribosomal RNA, internal transcribed spacer 2, and large subunit ribosomal RNA". The stretch from base 1 to 120 matches the Rfam family "5.8S ribosomal RNA", at positions 35 to 154 of the family's 154-position model. The record is from RNAcentral.
GAUGAAGAACGUAGUGAAAUGCGAUACGUAAUGUGAAUUGCAGAAUUCAGUGAAUCAUCGAAUCUUUGAACGCAUAUUGCGCUCUUUGGUAUUCCGAAGAGCAUGCUUGUUUGAGUAUCAGUAAACACCUCAAAAGACUUUCAUUUUUGAAAUGAUUUUGGACUUGAGCAAUCCCAACACCAGUCUUCACGGAUCGGCGGAGGGUUGCUUGAAAUGCAGGUGCAGCUGGACAUUCUCCUGAGCUAAAAGCAUAUCUAUUUAGUCCCGUCAAACGGAUUAUUACUUUUGCUGCAGCUAACAUAAAGGGAGUUUGACCAUUUUGGCUGACUGAUGCAGGAUUUCACAAGGGUCGGUAAAACGAUUUUUGUAAAACUCGAUCUCAAAUCAAGUAAGACUACCCGCUGAACUUAAGCAUAUCAAUAAGCGGAGGA